GUCUGAGUCUAGAAAUGUUAAAGUCACCCCCUACAAUGAGUAUGCCUUCUGUGAAGUUCUCUAUUUUGGUUAAAUAUUUGCGUAAGUGUGGGCAUUGUUUUGUAUUUGGGAGGUAGAGACUGGCAAAUGUCACCUUGGUGUUGCCCAGUUGUCCUUUGACUAUAAUUAGUCUUCCGCUGGUGUCUGCAUAAUGGUCGGUGUGUGUGAAUGGUGUUUUAGCUCCUAUGUGGAUGGCUA
Pelobates cultripes (western spadefoot toad) is the source of this 237-nucleotide non-coding RNA. The record is from the annotation of a GenBank genome assembly. Lineage: Eukaryota; Metazoa; Chordata; Amphibia; Anura; Pelobatidae.